Molecule: ribosomal RNA, 910 nt
Filed under: Enterococcus sp. F157
Lineage: Bacteria; Bacillati; Bacillota; Bacilli; Lactobacillales; Enterococcaceae
Description: bacterial SSU rRNA
Rfam family: Bacterial small subunit ribosomal RNA
Source: RNAcentral
CUAUCAUGCAAGUCGAACGCUUCUUUCUUAUCGAACUUCGGUUCACCAAGAAAGAGGAGUGGCGGACGGGUGAGUAACACGUGGGUAACCUGCCCUUUAGCGGGGGAUAACACUUGGAAACAGGUGCUAAUACCGCAUAAUCUUUUUCCUCGCAUGAGAGAAAAGUGAAAGACGCUUUUGCGUCACUAAAGGAUGGACCCGCGCUGCAUUAGCUAGUUGGUGAGGUAACGGCUCACCAAGGCCACGAUGCAUAGCCGACCUGAGAGGGUGAUCGGCCACACUGGGACUGAGACACGGCCCAGACUCCUACGGGAGGCAGCAGUAGGGAAUCUUCGGCAAUGGACGAAAGUCUGACCGAGCAACGCCGCGUGAGUGAAGAAGGUUUUCGGAUCGUAAAACUCUGUUGUUAGAGAAGAACAAGGAUGAGAGUAGAAUGUUCAUCCCUUGACGGUAUCUAACCAGAAAGCCACGGCUAACUACGUGCCAGCAGCCGCGGUAAUACGUAGGUGGCAAGCGUUGUCCGGAUUUAUUGGGCGUAAAGCGAGCGCAGGCGGUUUAUUAAGUCUGAUGUGAAAGCCCCCGGCUUAACCGGGGAGGGUCAUUGGAAACUGGUAGACUUGAGUGCAGAAGAGGAGAGUGGAAUUCCAUGUGUAGCGGUGAAAUGCGUAGAUAUAUGGAGGAACACCAGUGGCGAAGGCGACUCUCUGGUCUGUAACUGACGCUGAGGCUCGAAAGCGUGGGGAGCGAACAGGAUUAGAUACCCUGGUAGUCCACGCCGUAAACGAUGAGUGCUAAGUGUUGGAGGGUUUCCGCCCUUCAGUGCUGCAGCAAACGCAUUAAGCACUCCGCCUGGGGAGUACGGCCGCAAGGCUGAAACUCAAAGGAAUUGACGGGGGCCCGCACAAGCGGU